Molecule: ribosomal RNA, 406 nt
Filed under: Eubranchus exiguus
Lineage: Eukaryota; Metazoa; Mollusca; Gastropoda; Nudibranchia; Eubranchidae
Description: partial large subunit ribosomal RNA
Rfam family: Archaeal large subunit ribosomal RNA
Source: RNAcentral
GAGGACUUUAUCUUUGGUUUAACCUGCCCAAUGAUUUAUGAAUGGCCGCGGUACUUUGACCGUGCUAAGGUAGCAUAAUCAGUUGGCUUUUAAAUGGAGUCGAGUAUGAAUGGGAGAACCGGGCCUAGCUGUCUCAGUAUUACUAGUUUGAAUUUACUGUUUAAGUGAAAAAGCUUAAAUUUUGAAAAGGGACGAGAAGACCCUUAGAAUUUUGUUUAAAGUGAUUUUAGUCACUAUUAUUUUGUUGGGGCGACAAAGAAAUAAUUAAAACUUUCUUCAACAUAGCCGGUAUUAUCAAGUGGGAAUAAAUUACCUGAGGGAUAACAUAAUUUUAUAGUUAAGUUUAUGACCUCGAUGUUUUUGGGUUAGCUGCUCAAUUUGCGGAUUCUGUUCGAAUUUUAACUCC